UUUCAAUGACGAUAUCCCUGUCCAGUUCUGCUACUGAAUGCAAGUGACGAUAAUGUGACUCUGAGAUA
Small nucleolar RNA from Gadus morhua (Atlantic cod), 68 nucleotides. Lineage: Eukaryota; Metazoa; Chordata; Actinopteri; Gadiformes; Gadidae. The record is from Ensembl.